ACAUAUAUCAUUAUCUCCUCCGUUUCUUUCCCCCAAUCCCAAGCAUUCCCUCUUUCGUUCUCUUUCUAAAAUCUUAAUUGAACAGUGGCAAUCAAUGAGUUACUCUUUCUCUCUCUCUCUCUCUCUAUUUGCUAGCCUUCUCCUCCAUCGGCCUUGAAGACAAAAUUUGCAAGAUUAAUACCUAGCUAUGGCUAAAUCCCAAUCUCGUCAUGGAUUUUGCUCAGUUACGAUCAAUUUCAGCAACAUUUUCGAGAAAUUCACCGUAAAUUUUGUUCAUUUUCAGGUCGUUGUUCGUGAAGUGAAGGCAUGGGAUCGACCGAGCGCGACUCAUUUCUCCGAGUAAUUUUGUUCUACACCGAAUGAAACCCUAGCUUUGCUCUUGAGAGAAAUUGCUGCAGAAUUUUCUUCGAGUCUUUGUCGGAGCUCUGUCGAUCUAAAUAUGAGGUUGUUGCAAAACAAUAGCAUUUCAGGUCAUAUUCCUCUAGAAAUGGUACCUGUUGUAUCUCAGGGUCUUUGAAAGAAGUAGCAUGGAAUCUGCAAUUUUUGGCUUUCCAAGAAACUUUCCUUCUGGAAGACUUCUUUUCAAAGCUUGAAUGAAAAUGUGUUCUGCUCUCAUGAAGUCACUGUCACUUUCAGGUACUUGGCAACAAUCUUAGUGGACCUAUUCCCAAAUUUCCAGCCAGAGCAUUUAAGUAUGUCUUCACUAUCAUGUUAACUUCAGGGGGUUCUCAUUUAUUUGAUCUUUUCUUUCAAAAUUGUACUGGAGUUUCUGAAAUAUUUCACCUUAUUUUCAGAGAGAAAACAAAAGCAGACAUCUCAAAAUGAAGAAAUUUCUCUGGGAAUUCCUAUUCAUUUUAAUGUCUCUGCAUUGGAAUCAGAUAUUGCAGACAUCUUCGGGGAUGUUAAGCUGCAGCACAAAAGCCUAAAGGAGAAAGUGAAGGAUUGCAACAAGAAGGAACCACCAUACAAAGAAGAAAAGGAGUAGGACUACUCGCAAAUGACUUGCUUGAGAUAGUGGAAAAGUUUCUGGAAAAUGAGCAGGACUACUUGCAAAUGACUUGCUUAAAUUCUUCAUCUCUCACCUUGCAAUUUUAUGGAAUGUGGUUCUAUUGGGUUGUGGAUGUUGGUUACUUUCCCAAAUUAGGAAGUGAAUUGAUUGCUGACCUUUUUACACUCUGGUGUUCAAGCAUGGUAAUGACUAUAUUUUUUUGUGUUAUUUCGGGAUUUUGAGACGUGAAGAUACUUUUGAGAGACGUUUGAUGAAUUUGUGCUUUUCAAGACAAGCACUUCUGGGGAUAUGUGAAAUAUCUUGUCAUUGUAAUGAACUUAUUACAUUACAAGGAAGUUCAUCCUUUUUUUUUUCUUUUCAAAAUGAUGACAUGCGAUAAAGUUUGUAAAAUUUGACUGAAGCAAUGUAUGAUACUUUGUUCUAGUA
Molecule: non-coding RNA, 1435 nt
Organism: Coffea arabica (coffee)
Lineage: Eukaryota; Viridiplantae; Streptophyta; Magnoliopsida; Gentianales; Rubiaceae
Source: RefSeq, a predicted model, not a curated record